This is a long non-coding RNA of Monopterus albus (swamp eel), 992 nucleotides long. RefSeq lists it as uncharacterized. The record is from RefSeq and is a predicted model, not a curated record. The transcript has 3 exons. NCBI's taxonomy places the organism in Eukaryota, Metazoa, Chordata, Actinopteri, Synbranchiformes, Synbranchidae.
CAACGACAAAGCGCCGCCAUGGUUCCAACUAUUGUGGAUUUAGAGCUGUUUAUUUGACGUUUUUCACUUUCCUCACGGCCAAGACGCUUCAGGGACCUACUGGUUCGUUUGAAAGUGGUCCGGGCUCUUGUCUUGCAAGGGGCAAGUGUCCUUUGCCUAAUGCAUUUAAUAUACAGUAUGUUUUUGACGAAACGGCAUCAUGAAGCAAAAAAACUGAAUUGAUGAACGAACUGGGUGCUUAAUAUGGGAUGUUUAAGUAGCAGUACUUAGCAAAUGCUUUUGUCCAAACAACACACAAAAACAUUAGAAUAACAUCUGUUACCAUAAGAAUGAAAGUUCGUUUACUGUACUUCCUCCUCAUUUUUCUUCUCUCCGUUUAAUGGCAUUUAUUUAUCUUUUUUUACGGGUCCAGCCUCCCCGGGUACAGUGGCCUAAUCCCGUGUUUCACGUCACAACGCAAUGAACUCUGGGGAAUAUCCUCAGGUAAAGUCUGCUGAAGGGCCGAUUUACAGAAAGUGAGCAGCAUAAAGGGCUCAAAAUGAAGACGAGAGAGCACUCGUGCACUUGAUUUCACAGUGGGUCAGCCCUGAGCACUCACCAACUCAGCUGGAGCGCGCCUCAAAGUUCGUGAGUCUGAAGGAGGAAGAAACGAGAAGUUGUUGCACCUGCAGAUUGAAGGAGCUAACCGAGACACGCCCCGCAGCUAACGGAGAAUGGUCAGGUGAGCAGGAGGACACGAGAUCGCUUUGAACCCAAACUGAAGUAGCAGACGAGUGACUGAGUGAAACUGCUUGAACCAAAGCCCGGAUGUUUGCAGAGGUUUGGCGGACACCUUCAUCCCCACCCCGACCCGUACAUAAGUACGAAGAUGACUUUUGUGGUGGGGUGUCAUGCGAAAAGGGUCCCCAGAUGACCACUGACAAUAAACACCACAUAGUAGCUAACUUGUUGCAUGUGCCUGAACCUAAUGUCUUUUCACGUGAAGCACGACG